GGCUGGAUAUUUUUUUCUCAUCUAUUCUUUAAUAAAAUUCUCAAAAAAAUUAUUAGGUCCUAAAAAUGAUUAAGUUAUAUUGAUAACUAAGUCAUUGCCUCUCAUUAAGUGAGUGAUAAUGAGUCCAUUAGUUUAAUAAUCAUUGGAGGCCUAAAGGCCUGGUGCUUAUUGACUAAUGGAAUUAUCAUUCAUAAUAUGAUAAUUUGGUU
This 209-nucleotide long non-coding RNA is filed under the name Elaeis guineensis (African oil palm). RNAcentral's name for it is "long non-coding RNA (EGUI_LNC077313)". Lineage: Eukaryota; Viridiplantae; Streptophyta; Magnoliopsida; Arecales; Arecaceae. The record is from RNAcentral.